This 215-nucleotide ribosomal RNA is filed under the name uncultured bacterium. Its description in RNAcentral is "partial 16S ribosomal RNA". It matches the Rfam family "Bacterial small subunit ribosomal RNA", at positions 1286 to 1500 of the family's 1533-position model. The record is from RNAcentral.
UCUCAGUUCGGAUUGUAGUCUGCAACUCGACUACAUGAAGCUGGAAUCGCUAGUAAUCGCAGAUCAGAAUGCUGCGGUGAAUACGUUCCCGGGUCUUGUACACACCGCCCGUCACACCAUGGGAGUCGGAAAUGCCCGAAGCCGGUGACCCAACCAAAAGGAGGGAGCCGUCGAAGGCAGGUCUGAUAACUGGGGUGAAGUCGUAACAAGGUACC